AGAGUUUGAUCAUGGCUCAGGACGAACGCUGGCGGUGUGCCUAAUACAUGCAAGUCGAGCGAAGAGGCCCUUUCGGGGGUACUUCAGCGGCGGACGGCUGAGUACAACAUAGGUAACGUGCCCAAAACUGGGGGAUAACACCGGGAAACCGGUGCUAAUACCGCAUAAGUGCCAGGUUGAAAUACCUGUCAUUAAAGAUUUAUCGGUUUUGGAUCGGCCUGUGCAGGAUUAGCUUGUUGGUAGGGUAAAAGCCUACCAAGGCGAUGAUCCUUAGUUGGUCUGAGAGGAUGACCAGCCAGAGUGGGACUGAGACACGGCCCACACUCCUACGGGAGGCAGCAGUAGGGAAUAUUGCGCAAUGGGCGAAAGCCUGACGCAGCAACACCGCGUGGAGGAUGAAGUUUCUAGGAACGUAAACUCCUGUCAGCAGGGAAUAAUUAUGACUGUACCUGCAGAGGAAGCACCGGCUAACUACGUGCCAGCAGCCGCGGUAAUACGUAGGGUGCAAGCGUUGUCCGGAUUUAUUGGGCGUAAAGAGUUCGUAGGUGGUGGCUUAAGUCUGGUGUUAAAUACCGAAGCUCAACUUCGGCAUGGCAUUGGAAACUGGGUCGCUAGAGUCCGUCAGAGGUAACUGGAAUUCCUGGUGUAGCGGUGAAAUGCGUAGAUAUCAGGAGGAACACCGGUGGCGAAAGCGAGUUACUGGGACGGUACUGACGCUGAGGAACGAAAGCCUGGGUAGCGAAAGGGAUUAGAUACCCUAGUAGUCC
Molecule: ribosomal RNA, 767 nt
Filed under: uncultured bacterium
Lineage: Bacteria
Description: bacterial SSU rRNA
Rfam family: Bacterial small subunit ribosomal RNA
Source: RNAcentral